UACGUAGGGGGCAAGCGUUGUCCGGAAUCAUUGGGCGUAAAGCGCGCGUAGGCGGCCCGGUAAGUCCGUUGUGAAAGUCAAAGGCUCAACCUUUGAACGCCGAUGGAUACUGCCGGGCUAGAGUCCGGAAGAGGCGAGUGGAAUUCCUGGUGUAGCGGUGGAAUGCGCAGAUAUCAGGAGGAACACCAAUAGCGAGGGCAGCUCGCUGGGACGGUACUGACGCUGAGGCGCGAAAGCGUGGGGAGCGAACAGG
This 253-nucleotide ribosomal RNA is filed under the name uncultured bacterium. Its description in RNAcentral is "partial 16S ribosomal RNA". It matches the Rfam family "Bacterial small subunit ribosomal RNA", at positions 524 to 776 of the family's 1533-position model. The record is from RNAcentral.